Molecule: non-coding RNA, 30 nt
Filed under: Rattus norvegicus (Norway rat)
Lineage: Eukaryota; Metazoa; Chordata; Mammalia; Rodentia; Muridae
Source: RNAcentral
UGCCGUCAUUACUUGAUACAUUUCUGCUCC